RNAcentral lists this ribosomal RNA (252 nucleotides) under uncultured bacterium. RNAcentral's name for it is "partial 16S ribosomal RNA". It matches the Rfam family "Bacterial small subunit ribosomal RNA", at positions 524 to 776 of the family's 1533-position model. The record is from RNAcentral.
UACGAAGGGGGCUAGCGUUGCUCGGAAUCACUGGGCGUAAAGCGCACGUAGGCGGCUUUCUAAGUCAGGGGUGAAAUCCUGGAGCUCAACUCCAGAACUGCCUUUGAUACUGGGAAGCUCGAGUCCGGAAGAGGUGAGUGGAACUCCUGGUGUAGCGGUGAAAUGCGCAGAUAUCCGGAGGAACACCAGCGGCGAAGGCGCUUUCUGGUCCGAUACUGACGCUGAGGAGCGAAAGCGUGGGGAGCGAACAGG